GUGAGGAAUUUUCCGCAAUGGGCGAAAGCCUGACGGAGCAAUGCCGCGUGAAGGAUGAAGGCCUAUGGGUUGUAAACUUCUUUUCUUAGAGAAGAAUAUUGACGGUAUCUGAGGAAUAAGCAUCGGCUAACUCUGUGCCAGCAGCCGCGGUAAGACAGAGGAUGCAAGCGUUCUCCGGAAUGAUUGGGCGUAAAGCGUCUGUAGGUGGCUUCAAAAGUCUCCUGUCAAAGAUCAGGGCUUAACCCUGGGCCGGCAGGAGAAACUCUGAGGCUAGAGUAUGGUAGGGGCAGAGGGAAUUACCGGUGGAGCGGUGAAAUGCGUAGAGAUGGGGAGGAACACCAAAGGCGAAAGCACUCUGCUGGGCCACAACUGACACUGAGAGACGAAAGCGAGGGGAGCAAAAGGGAUUAGAAACCCCAGUAGUCC
RNAcentral lists this ribosomal RNA (426 nucleotides) under uncultured bacterium. RNAcentral's name for it is "partial 16S ribosomal RNA". It matches the Rfam family "Bacterial small subunit ribosomal RNA", at positions 354 to 796 of the family's 1533-position model. The record is from RNAcentral.